CUAACUGUAGCUCAGUUGGUUACAGCGCUGCACCGGAAUCGCAGGCUCGCAGCUUCGAUUCCUGCCAGAGAGG
This 73-nucleotide transfer RNA is filed under the name Paramuricea clavata. It matches the Rfam family "tRNA". Rfam says of the family: Transfer RNA (tRNA) molecules are approximately 80 nucleotides in length. Their secondary structure includes four short double-helical elements and three loops (D, anti-codon, and T loops). Lineage: Eukaryota; Metazoa; Cnidaria; Anthozoa; Malacalcyonacea; Plexauridae. The record is from Rfam by way of RNAcentral.